This 404-nucleotide ribosomal RNA is filed under the name uncultured bacterium. RNAcentral describes it as "bacterial SSU rRNA". It matches the Rfam family "Bacterial small subunit ribosomal RNA", at positions 355 to 776 of the family's 1533-position model. The record is from RNAcentral.
UGGGGAAUCUUGCGCAAUGGGCGAAAGCCUGACGCAGCGACGCCGCGUGAGCGAUGAAGGCCUUCGGGUCGUAAAGCUCUGUCAGAGGGGACGAUAAUGACGGUACCCUCAGAGGAAGCCCCGGCUAACUACGUGCCAGCAGCCGCGGUAAGACGUAGGGGGCUAGCGUUGUCCGGAAUUACUGGGCGUAAAGGGCGUGUAGGCGGCCAGGCAAGUCAGUGGUGAAACACCUGGGCUUAACCGAGGUAUUGCCAUUGAAACUGUCUGGCUUGAGGAUAGAAGAGGAGUGUGGAAUUCCCGGUGUAGCGGUGAAAUGCGUAGAGAUCGGGAGGAACACCAGUGGCGAAGGCGGCACUCUGGUCUAUACCUGACGCUGAGGCGCGAAAGCUAGGGAAGCAAACAGG